AGUAACUUGAAAGUGCCCCUAUCUCCACACCUUUGCUAACACAGAGGGUUACAAUUUUUUCUGUUUGUUCAUUUGUUAGACAAGACAUGCUAUAUUAUUGUCCUCUACUUAUAGACUUAACUCGGGGCUGAGAUCAGAAAAUAGAAUAUGGAAGGAUAGAAGGAAGCCUUGUCCAUUUGUCUUAUGGCUCUAAAGAUGAAUUUUAGAUUGGUGCCUUUUCAUUAGUCUGUUCAACAAAUGUUUUCUUUGCGUGCCCCUUCAAGAAAGGAAAAUGAGAUAUAAAAUUUGUAUUUGACAACCUAGUGAUAUUCCUCACUUGAUGGCACAUUAGCACCAUGGUCCAUCCUAGGAUGCUCUCUUGUUUUCUCAUUUCCCCUCCUUUCAUCUGGAUCCCCACUCUUUUCCCCUGCUCUUCCAUAAGCAACUAUUCUAGUAUGUUUAACAUACAUAUUGUAUAUGCAUGUUCCUUGAAGGAUAUAUAGUGUUUUGUGGUUUUGAGAAUAUGUGUUUUUAACUUACAUAAGUUGCAUUCCUAACUGUUGUGUUAUCUUACAUUCUCCACUCCUAAACAUUACACUAAAAGCAAACUCUAUCCUUGUGUUGCAAUCAUGUUUAUAUUUUUGCCUGUAAUUGCAGCAAAAGAUUCCAUAGUGUCUACCUGAGGUCCAGAAUAGAAGGAACUUGUGCUCACUUCCAGAGAAGAAGAUCAAAUGCACAUUUAUGUGUUGUUAUUUCUUGAACAAAGGACAUCAUGAUCACUUAUGUGGCUACAUACAUCUACAAUCCAUCUGUGGCGAAGGCAUAAAGACUCCAUUUCUGUCAACUUCGGAGCCUGUUCUCAUUCUUUGCUUGCUCUACCACUAAUGCCAAUUACUUGGGUCUCAUCAAACACACCAACGAAGACCUCUACACCACUCCGUGAAGGCUGCAUGGAAGGUUGGGGGCCUGAGAGCCCUCUGCAGUGUCCUCAAACCCCUCCUGUCUCUUCUGGUGAAGGUGAUCACCAGGAUGAUGCUCCACAUUGCCUGUGUGGGUCUGGCCUGAGCCCCAUCUGUAAAACAGGAUACAAAUGUCUGUCCCCCAGCAUUGAUUCCUUAAGGUGCUGUGCCUCAUCCAUGAUAGUUCCUGUUCAAUCACAAUGUGAUUAUGGCAUCUUGGAAAGUUCCAUUCUGAAAGGCAAUGAGCGUACCUCAAUUUUAAGCCUGUCAUUUAUCAUUUUUUUCUUCUUUCUUUCCUUCCUUCCUUCCUUCCUUCCUUCCUUCCUUCCUUCCUUUCUUUCUUUCUUUCUUUCUUCUUUCUUUCUUCUUUCUUAUCUAAUUUAUUGUCAAAUUGGCUAA
Molecule: long non-coding RNA, 1337 nt
Filed under: Felis catus (domestic cat)
Lineage: Eukaryota; Metazoa; Chordata; Mammalia; Carnivora; Felidae
Description: lncRNA (ENSFCAG00000043989.2)
Source: RNAcentral